CUAAGUUCAGCGGGUAGCCCUACCUGAUUUGAGGUCAGAUCGAAAGAAUAUGAGGGUUGUGAGCGGACGUCAUCGACCACGAGAAAGGCGAAACUUAUUACGCCAGACAUUGGGUACGAAUAUUCCCACUAAGACCUUUAAGGCGAGCCGGCAACAAAGCGGCAGCGCCCAAAUCCAACACGAUCGGGUCGUAAAACCCG
This 200-nucleotide unclassified non-coding RNA is filed under the name Fonsecazyma sp. RNAcentral's name for it is "partial internal transcribed spacer 2". Lineage: Eukaryota; Fungi; Basidiomycota; Tremellomycetes; Tremellales; Bulleraceae. The record is from RNAcentral.